UACGAAGGGGGCUAGCGUUGUUCGGAAUUACUGGGCGUAAAGCGCACGUAGGCGGAUUUGUAAGUCAGGGGUGAAAUCCCGGGGCUCAACCUCGGAACUGCCUUUGAUACUGCAAGUCUCGAGUCCGAUAGAGGUGAGUGGAAUUCCUAGUGUGGAGGUGAAAUUCGUAGAUAUUAGGAAGAACACCAGUGGCGAAGGCGGCUCACUGGAUCGGUACUGACGCUGAGGUGCGAAAGCGUGGGGAGCAAACAGG
Molecule: ribosomal RNA, 253 nt
Filed under: uncultured bacterium
Lineage: Bacteria
Description: partial 16S ribosomal RNA
Rfam family: Bacterial small subunit ribosomal RNA
Source: RNAcentral